CCAGCAGACACCAGCCAUGAGCCUUCCCAGCUGACACAGAAUGGCACAAUGUUGACUUCACUCUCCUGACCCACUGCAAUCAGGAAAUUCAUCUUCUGUUUUACAGAGUAAAAUACCAGGAAACCAGAAGACAGAGCCUGGCUGGAAGGGUUUCCCACUCGCCUUAUACCCUGCAAAAAAGCAGGCCAAGCAUUAAGUCUUCACAGUAGCUCCAUUGAUAAUGGCCCCAAACUGGAAAUAGCCCUGGUGUCUUGGAACAGGAGAAAGCCAGGUGGAGCUCAUGGGCUGGAGGAGCCCAGAGAGGAGUCUGAAGCCUGGGCAGAGGACUGCUCUCCGAGGGCCGAAGGUGGUGGCAGGGGCUCCAGUGUGGCUGUGCACACCUCGGCCACCAGUGGGCGCCCCUGAACACAGCUGCCACCCGGGACAGUUGGCAGGUGAUCCUCAGGACCCAAGGAGGCAGCUGGGGGAGGGGCGAACUGGGCAAAGCAUGGGAGGAUUGGGACUUCCCGUGACGGGAAGCAUCUGAGUGUCCCCACUGCUCCCAGAUGAAUGUAAGUGCUUUGGAGGCUUGGGAGGUGUUGGGGGAGAAUGCAGGGUUUGGGGAAACAGACACUCUCCUAGCAGGAGCCUAAGCUGGGUAAGUAACUGAGGCAGCACCAUGAACACAGGCUGCAGGAGUACUGAAGACUUUCCAGGAUGUGGCAGCCCCUGGAAUUUGGCCGAAGUGCAUGGGGAUGAGCAGGUGGGACCUACAUGAGCCCAGAUGGAGGGACUGAAGAGUCAG
Long non-coding RNA from Choloepus didactylus (southern two-toed sloth), 784 nucleotides. RefSeq lists it as uncharacterized. The transcript has 3 exons. NCBI's taxonomy places the organism in Eukaryota, Metazoa, Chordata, Mammalia, Pilosa, Megalonychidae. The record is from RefSeq and is a predicted model, not a curated record.